GACGAACGCUGGCGGCGUGCUUAACACAUGCAAGUCGAACGGAAAGGCCCUGCUUUUGUGGGGUGCUCGAGUGGCGAACGGGUGAGUAACACGUGAGUAACCUGCCCUUGACUUUGGGAUAACUUCAGGAAACUGGGGCUAAUACCGGAUAGGAGCUCCUGCUGCAUGGUGGGGGUUGGAAAGUUUCGGCGGUUGGGGAUGGACUCGCGGCUUAUCAGCUUGUUGGUGGGGUAGUGGCUUACCAAGGCUUUGACGGGUAGCCGGCCUGAGAGGGUGACCGGCCACAUGGGGACUGAGAUACGGCCCAGAGUCCUACGGGAGGCAGGAGUGGGGAAUAUUGCACAAUGGGCCGAAGCCUGAUGCAGCAACGCCGCGUGCGGGAUGACGGCCUUCGGGUUGGAAACCGCUUUCGCCUGUGACGAAGCGUGAGUGACGGUAAUGGGUAAAGAAGCACCGGCUAACUACGUG
RNAcentral lists this ribosomal RNA (468 nucleotides) under uncultured bacterium. Its description in RNAcentral is "partial 16S ribosomal RNA". It matches the Rfam family "Bacterial small subunit ribosomal RNA", at positions 28 to 507 of the family's 1533-position model. The record is from RNAcentral.